RNAcentral lists this long non-coding RNA (248 nucleotides) under Glycine max (soybean). RNAcentral describes it as "long non-coding RNA (GMAX_LNC001799)". Lineage: Eukaryota; Viridiplantae; Streptophyta; Magnoliopsida; Fabales; Fabaceae. The record is from RNAcentral.
GUCAAACCACCAACUAUCUUCUAAAGUUGGUAGUGUGUUGGUCAAGUUGCCACGCACCAUGUUGGACGAUGAUGAACUAUCCAAACGUUGCAAGGACUUGUAGGAAGAGAAAAAAAACUGGGCUGCCAGGGUGGGGAUGUUGUGGUAGAGAAGGACGAGCUUGCCAAGAAGGUGGUAGAUCUUGAUGCCCUGUUGAUUGAAGGAGUCACAGUCCAUGCUGGAGAAGUUCGAGCUAUGGGCUGCUAGAG